UAUUGUAUUACUCAGGGAGAACUAGGAGUACCAGGUGCUCCAGGUGAACCAGGCUACCCAGGCAUUCCUGGUACCCCAGGCAUAAAGGGGGACAAAGGAAACCAAGGUGACAGCGGUAUCCAGGGACUGAAAGGAGAGAAAGGAAGACAAGGAAAUCCAGGCUUACAGGUACUGUUAAAAGAGGGAUCCUAGUUCAAGAAAAUCAUAGAGAUCCUAGUUUG
RNAcentral lists this long non-coding RNA (221 nucleotides) under Manacus vitellinus (golden-collared manakin). RNAcentral's name for it is "lncRNA (ENSMVIG00005012018.1)". The record is from RNAcentral. Lineage: Eukaryota; Metazoa; Chordata; Aves; Passeriformes; Pipridae.